AGUUUUCUAAAAAUUUAAUAUAUCACUAAUGGCAGGAGGCACAUGCAAAACAUUUAAGUCCAUGGUUAAACUUUCCUGCAAUUCUCAUUGCUGAAUGGCGAUUAGUCAACCAAUCUGGACUUAGUGAAUAGUAGCAAUACUCAUAUUUCUUUUAGUGUCAAUACACAUACCAAAAUAGCAGACUAUAAAUGCAUUAAAGGGAACUGAGGAUGCAAUGUCUCAAAGAAUUUGGAAAUGGAAAACAUAAGAAGCUACUCUGGAAAAUUAAGAUUUUCUCAAGCUCUCAACAAUUUUGGAGAAGGCUGAGUAGGUUCCAAAGACUGAUGAUAUCACCCCUACUACAAUGAUCAUAAUACAAACUGCAGCCUGAAAUCUGGUUACUUUACCCCUUAAGAUGCUUAGAAAACAAGCACAAGGAAGUAUCAAGGUUACUAGCAUUGUCAACAAAGAUCCAAUCAAAGACAUCACCAGACCGAAAAAGGGAAUGGAUAGACCGACAAUCAAGGUGGAGAUCACCAGUGCUGUCCUGAUGCAGAUAGCAUAAAUGUGAGACUUCAGAUGGGUUGAUGGUAUCAAUUCUUCAAGACUCAUUGCCACUGGAGACAUGGUUAAUGCAUAUUUGGUAAAUGGAUUCACUACCGUAGUCCACACAGCAAUCUUUGUGGCUAUUAGAUCUUGAGGCAUGUUAAGAGUGAACUGAGACUCCGUUGAUUCUCCAAACAUAGUGUACCCCAUAACAGCAACUCCAGCAUACAUGACAGUACAGAUACCAAAGCUGAAGGAAUAUCAAAUCAAGCCAUAGUCCAUUAAUUGAAAAGCCUAUUAGCUAAAAAAUUUCAAAAUUUUGAGUUUCUUUGGGCAAGCAAGAUGGGGUUGUUAAGCAUAUUAAGUCUACCAUGCUAAGAGAACCAUAGGGAAUUUGUUAGGUUGUGCCAUGGAGGUAUAGAUAUUUGGGAAAACAGCAUGUCCUGAGUAACAAUAACCAUAGAGACCAAUAGCGACAGGAAGAGUCCCAAGGUUCAGUACAGUCCCUUUACUAUGAAUCCCAACUUGAUCAACCAAACCAACCCAGAAUAAGCAGAUGACCACCAAAACUGAUGCAAUAACUCCACCAGCAGAGAUAUAGCUAAGUAAACUGAGGUCUCGAAGCCAAACAGUUGGAAGAACAGCAAUGGUGGUCAGAAUAGCAAAGAAGUGGUGUGAAUUUAGCUCUAAUCCACCCAAACUUAAAUGUGCAUGCGGAAAUAAUGAGGACAAGUUAUCACUCUCCAAAAUUAUAUAUUCAACACAACAGGCAUAUAACUCCAUGUAUAAGAUCAUAGAGAUGGCAAUCCGACCAAUGGUGCCAAAUGCAGCUUGGCCAAUGUCAGGGUAAGUUUCAAUCUCUGGUUCACUAUCCAAACAUAAACGCAAGAGCAUCCCAGUGUAAAAGGAAAGCACUGCAAAUAUGAGCAAUAUAGAGAGCCCAAGCCAUCCUCCUUCUCUAGCAGCAUAAGGAGUGGACAAAAUCCCAACACCACAUAGAACAUUCAUGCCAUUAAUCACGGCUUGUCCAUAUGAGCUUUGGCGAGAAAUGGGAAGUUCAUGUGAAAUCUGGGUUGGUUUCUCAUCUUUUUUAAUCAAAGACUUUCUUGAGGGAAUUGGAGGAAGUAGAGAAUGAGAACUGCGCUUUUGUGGGGGUAACUGCUCAUCUUCUGCCUUUGAUAUAAGAGGUUUUGUCACAGAAGGCAGUGAUUCUGGGGUGUGUCUUCUUGUUAGGGAAGAAGAUAAAAAUGAACUGCUUAAUCUUGACAGUGUAGGUGUUCCCAGAAUAAUACUUGGAGAUGGUACACUACUAUAUAGGUCAAUAGACUGCCUGUAACUUUGAGGCCAAGAAGUGUUGUAAGAACCAGUUUUGCUCUGUUGAUGGUUAUCGGCUAAAGAGUCAUCGGAAUCUGAUUGAUUCCCGUCUUCUUCACCUUGUCCACCUCUGUUAAGUUCCUUCUCUUCAUCCUCCUCAUCACUAUCUAUGUAAAAACUCUGUUCAGAAGCAGAAUUCUUCAUUUUCUCUUCUUCUUCUUCUUCUUUCAACGAUGGCGGCAGCACCUUCCGCUCGAGAGGAGAGCGUCUACAUGGCCAAGCUCGCCGAGCAGGCCGAGCGCUACGAGGAGAUGGUCGAGUUUAUGGAGAAGGUGUCCGCCUCCGUCGACAGCGAGGAGCUUACUGUCGAGGAGCGGAACCUCCUCUCCGUUGCCUAUAAGAACGUCAUCGGAGCUCGGCGAGCCUCCUGGCGUAUUAUUUCCUCAAUUGAGCAGAAGGAGGAGAGCCGCGGCAACGAGGACCACGUUUCCAUUAUCCGGGACUAUAGGGCCAAGAUCGAGUCCGAGCUCUCCUCGAUCUGCGAUGGGAUCUUGAAGCUGCUUGACACGAGGUUGAUUCCCUCUGCUUCUCCUGGGGAUUCUAAGGUGUUUUACUUGAAGAUGAAGGGAGAUUACCAU
RNAcentral lists this unclassified non-coding RNA (2477 nucleotides) under Hevea brasiliensis (rubber tree). Lineage: Eukaryota; Viridiplantae; Streptophyta; Magnoliopsida; Malpighiales; Euphorbiaceae. The record is from RNAcentral.